UACAUGUGUGGCAAGCGUUGUUCGGAAUUACUGGGCAUAACGGGUGCGUAGGCGGCUUGAUAAGUCAGUGGUGAAAUCGUCCGGCCCAACCGGACACGUGCCAAUGAUACUGUCGAGCUUGAGUGCGUGAGGGGUGGGGGGAACGAGCAGUGUAGCGGUGAAAUGCGUAGAUAUUGCUCGGAAGGCCAAAGCCGAAGGGACCCCACUGGUACGCAACUGACGCUGAGGCACGAAAGCGUGGGGAGCAAACAGG
Molecule: ribosomal RNA, 253 nt
Filed under: uncultured bacterium
Lineage: Bacteria
Description: partial 16S ribosomal RNA
Rfam family: Bacterial small subunit ribosomal RNA
Source: RNAcentral